Molecule: ribosomal RNA, 229 nt
Filed under: uncultured bacterium
Lineage: Bacteria
Description: partial 16S ribosomal RNA
Rfam family: Bacterial small subunit ribosomal RNA
Source: RNAcentral
UGCGUAGGCGGAUUAAUAAGUCAGUGGUGAAAACCUGCAGCUUAACUGCAGACCUGCCAUUGAUACUGUUAGUCUUGAGUACGGUCAAGGUAGGCGGAAUGUGUAAUGUAGCGGUGAAAUGCUUAGAUAUUACACAGAACACCGAUUGCGAAGGCAGCUUACUGGGCCAUUACUGACGCUGAUGCACGAAAGCGUGGGGAGCGAACAGGAUUAGAUACCCUGGUAGUCC